RNAcentral lists this transfer RNA (66 nucleotides) under Pyrgopsella youngi. RNAcentral describes it as "tRNA-Pro". The record is from RNAcentral. Lineage: Eukaryota; Metazoa; Arthropoda; Thecostraca; Balanomorpha; Pyrgomatidae.
CAGAAAGUAGUUUAAUUUAAAAUUUAGGUUUUGGAAAUCUAUAAUGUCUUUAAAAGAUCUUUCUGA